UUACAGAAUGGCGGAACAGUUGACAGAAAAAAACAGGGAUAAACAUCUACAUUUACGCCAUCUGAUUAAUCAUGGAAGGCUUAUCCUUUUUGCCGAAGGAGUACUAUAUAUAUGAAGGGUUUUGAUGAUCGUAAGGAAGCAUGUAUUGGCUGGCUUGAAACCAUAACACUUACGCCUUUGCAUCGUUUUGUCUAGAGUGACAUCUACAGCUUCUUUUGCACAGAGGUCUCGUGAUUUCCUUCAACUCACUUGGCUAGACGGAAUAAGAGGAAGUUAGAAAUGUCUGUACGUACUGUGGAACUUCAUUAGGAACACUGCAAUACAAGUGAGGAGCGUGGGAUCAACCUCUAGUUUUCGCAACUCAGUCAUUAAGAUGUUAUGGUCAAUUAGAUCAAAGCCUUUCCAGAAGUCAGCAAAGAAGACCUGGGCUCCUAGAUCAGCACAAUCUACUGCCUCAUAAAUGGCUUGUAACAUGAAUAGAAGAGCAUCUGUUGUCGAGUGGCCUCUACAUGCAAACUUUCGCUGGUCGAUUUUUCCAUGUAAUUAUGGCAGUAGUUUAUUGCAUGUGAAUCCCUCCAUGACUUUUGCCAGUGUACAAGUGAGCGCUAUUGGUUGGAGAUCACUCUUUAUUUCUCUUGGUGGGUUUACCUUCAGGAUUGGGGUGACAAUGAAAGAUUUUAGAAGUGAUGGGAUGUAUCCUUCCUUAAGAGACUGGUUGUUUCGAAUGACAGGAGCUAACUUGUGCGCAAAGUCCUUAAGCUGUUUAUUUGGGAUAUUGUCGGGUCCUACAGCUUUUGCAACAUUAAGCGACAACAGGGAUCGGAACACUUCCUCGUUGGAGACAAAAAGUUCCUGUGGUACCAGGCUUGGGGGAGAGUCACCGGUCAAAGGUGUAAAAUGGUCUGUAAGACUUACAAAAAAGUCGUUAAUCUUAUUUGCAAGUAAUUUGGGAUUCAUAGUAUCCCCAAGAAACAGAUGGUACCACUCCUGCUGAAUGUCCUGGCCUGUGAGUGACUUUAUUUGCCUCCACCAGUUACUGAAAUAAGUGGAUUCCUCUUGAGCAACUUUAUCGUGAUAGUAGUGAUUUUUAGCUUUUUUGACCUCACCCUGGACCUUGUUCCUCCAAAAUGUGUAAUUCUAAGAGUCCUUUCCAUGUCUGAGAAAUGCAGAUUGUCUUUUGCGAAUGCAAGAUUUCAGUUUUUUAGAAAUCCAGGGACAGUCAGUUGGGUGUUUCUUAACUAUUUUUCGUGGAAGGAAGGAAUCAAUAGCAGAAGUAAGUUCCAUCAUCAACAGCCUGAACUUGUCUUCACAAGACUCAGUAUUAAGAAUGGAGUACCAGUCCUUCUUGGUCAUCCAGCACCCCAGUGCACACCAUGCACUGUCUUGCAUAUCACGUGACUAUUUUCUUAAUGACCAGUGUUCAGAUGAUAUCAUUGGUCUGGCCAAGAUGAUAUAAUGAUCAGAUGAUGUGACUUUGGGCAAUUGUGAUACACUGAACAACUUUGGUCUAUUUGUAAAAAGCCAGUCCAGCAUGCCUGAGUCUCUAGUUUUGAAAGUUACAAGCUGCUUAAGAUGGUUGGCUUGAGAGAUAUCUUUUGACUUUAAUCCUGUUGUGUGAUGAUUGAAGUUGCCGGUAAUUAUAACCAGGGCAUUUGGCUGGUCAGAUAAUAGCAUGUCAAGAUUUCUUUGAAUGUGUUGCCGCAAAGUCACAUUCUCAGCUUCACGGUUACUAGUAGAGUGGUAUAUCACACCUAACACAAUUGAUGUAAUUUGUCUUGGUAGACAAUGCGGCCUCAUUGAUAUCCAAAUUGAUUUGACUUCAUCUUGAUUACAAGAUUCUAGGAGUUUACAUGGUACUUUGUGAUCUAAAUAAAUACACACUCCUCCUUCU
This 1891-nucleotide long non-coding RNA is filed under the name Pocillopora damicornis (cauliflower coral). Its description in RNAcentral is "uncharacterized LOC113673689". The record is from RNAcentral. Lineage: Eukaryota; Metazoa; Cnidaria; Anthozoa; Scleractinia; Pocilloporidae.